Molecule: RNA transcript, 4329 nt
Organism: Pezoporus occidentalis (night parrot)
Lineage: Eukaryota; Metazoa; Chordata; Aves; Psittaciformes; Psittacidae
Gene: MFHAS1
Gene name: multifunctional ROCO family signaling regulator 1
Exons: 4
Source: RefSeq, a predicted model, not a curated record
CGGGGCGGGCCCUGCCCGGGUCCCGCCCUUGGUGGGGCGGUUGCAGCAUCGGCGGCUACGGCUACGGCUACGGCUACGUGCGCGGGGUGUCGCGGCGGGUCGUGCCGGUUCGGAGCUGCGGGGAGCUCUGAACCCGCCGCGGCGGUGGCGGCCGCGCCCAUGGCGAGCAGCAGCGGCGGCGGCGGCAGGUAGGGUCGGGCGGGGCGGGGGCCCGCUCCCCCGGCCAUGGCGCAGACGGAGCCCCCGAAGGCGGUGCAGCUGUGGCGCGACGCCGCCCUUCGCGCGCGGAAGCUGCGGGGCGGCCCCGGCGAGCCAGAGCCGGAGCCCGAGCCGGACGCGGGGCCGCCGGGGGGGCCGCCAGCUCCCCCCGCCGCCGCCGCCGUGCCCCGCCGCCUGACCUCGGCGGCGGCCCUGGGGGAGCUGGAGGCUCUGAACCUGAGCGGGCGGGGGCUGGAGGAACUGCCUGAGGAGGUGGGCGCCGCCCUGAGCGGGCUGCGGGUGCUGAGCUUGCGGCGUAACCGGCUGGGCCGCCUGCCCGCCGCCGCCCUCCGCCACCUGGGCCGCCUGGCCGAGCUCGACCUCAGCCACAACCGGCUGCGGGGCUUGGGGGACGGCGGGGCGCUGGCAGAGUUGCGGAGCCUGCGCAAGCUCAGCCUCAGCCACAACGAGCUGGGCGCCGAGGGCCCGGGCCUGCCUCCCCGCCUCUCUGAGCUGGGCCGCCUCGAGGAGCUUGACCUCAGCUUCAACCGCCUGCGCCGCCUGCCCGAGGGCCUAGGCCGCCUGCAGCACCUCCGCACCCUCGACGUCGACCACAACCUGCUGCCCUCCUUCCCCGCCCCGCUGCUGGAGCUGGCUGCCCUGGAGGAGCUCGACUGCUCUGGCAACCGCCACCUCGGGGCCCUGCCCGAGGGCAUCGCUGCCCUCCGCCGCCUCAAGAUUCUCUGGCUGAGUGGCACCGGCCUGGCGACCCUGCCCGAGGGCCUCUGCCAGCUGAGUGCCCUCGAGAGCCUCAUGCUGGAUGGCAACCGGCUGCAGGCGCUGCCCGCUGGCUUCGGCAACCUGCAGCGGCUCAAGAUGCUGAACCUCUCCUCCAAUCUGCUGGGGGAGUUCCCUGCUGCCAUCUUGGCUCUCCCCAGCCUGGAGGAGCUCUACCUGAGCCGCAACCAGCUCACCCUGCUGCCUCCUGGUCUUUGUCAGCUCCACCAGCUCCGAACGCUCUGGCUGGACAAUAACCGCAUCCGCUACCUGCCUGACUCCAUCGUGCUCCUCCACAGCCUGGAGGAGUUGGUCCUGCAAGGCAAUCAGAUUGCCAUCCUCCCUGAGGGCUUUGGGCAGCUUUCCCGAGUCACCCUCUGGAAGAUCAAAGACAACCCCCUCAUCCAGCCCCCCUAUGAGGUGUGCAUGAAAGGCAUCCCUUACAUUGCAGCCUACCAGCAGGAGCUGGCCCACUCUCAGCCUGCCCUCAAACCCCGCCUCAAGUUGGUCCUUAUGGGCCUAAAAGAUGCAGGAAAGACCUUGCUGAGACGGUGCCUCAUGGAGGAGGAUGGGCCAAGGGAGGAAGUGGGAAGUCUGGAAGCAGGGAGCCCCCAGCUAAGGGGGUGCCCUGGACAGCAGGACAAUGGAACAUUGCCAGUUGGGUGUUGUCCCUUCCCGGAGCCUCAGGAUGCUUCCUCAGCAGGGGUACCUGCCACACAGCAGCUGGAACAUCUCCCCAUUGAGCGACAGGACGUCCCUUCUCACAUGCCCGUUCACCGAGUGAAAGGGGAAAUAUCGUGCCCUGCACCAUCGCUGCCACCCACUGCCCCCCAGCCACCAUCAGGACUGGGGCUAUCAGGAGGCAGCAAGGGCAUCGAGGUGAUGGACUGGACAGCAGAUGCAGAGAGGGGCCUGACAUUCAUUGUGUAUGAGCUGGCAGGGGACCCGAGCUAUGAUGUUAUCCAGUCUUUCUUCCUGUCUCCCGGAGCCCUGUAUGUGCUGGUGGUGAAUUUGAGUGCCUACGUCCCUCAGCACUUUUACCCCUCUGUAGGCUAUUUCUUACACUGGCUUGGUUCCAAGGUGCCCCAUGCUGUGGUGUGUAUGGUGGGAACCCAUGCUGACCUCUGUGCGGAGCGGGAGUUGGAAGAGAAGUGCCUGGACAUCCAUCACCAGAUCGCUCAGCAGGAGAAGAGGGAUGCUGAGGGACUCCAGAGCUUGGUCCAGCAGGUGGAUGAGGCUCUGGGACAGGACUUUGACCUGCGCUGCUCCAGCCCGCACGCUGCCUUUUAUGGGGUCUCGGACAAGAACUUGCGGCGGAAGAAAGCCCAGUUUCAGUACCUGCUCACCCACCGCCCGCAGAUCCUCUCUCCAGUGCUGCCUUUCAGCUGCCGGGACCGCUGCCAGGUACAUCGCCUGCGGGACAAGCUCCUCUCGGUGGCUGAGCACCGAGAUAUCUUCCCAAACCUGCACCGUGUGUUGCCCAAAUCUUGGCAAGUGCUGGAAGAGCUGCACUUCCAGCCACAAGCUCAGCAACUGUGGCUCAGCUGGUGGGACUCUGCCCGGUUGGGCUUGCAGGCAGGCCUGACAGAGGAUCGACUCCAGAGUGCACUGUCCUACCUGCACGAGAGUGGGAAGCUGCUCUACUUUGAGGAGCACCUCACCUUGCGGGAGUAUGUGUUCCACAACCUGCCACGGCUCAUUGACAUCCUCAACGUCUUCUGCCAGCGGGAUGCUGCCGUGCUGCUCCAAAAACUGCUCAGCGACACCCAGAUAGAUGAACUGAGGGCCACUCAGCUCCAUCAUUACGUGGAGGGCUUCUUGCUGCAUGGCCUCCUGCCUGCCCAUGUUAUCCGUCUCCUUCUUAAGCCCCACAUCCAGAGCCGGGAGGAUCUGCAGCUCAUCCUGGAGCUGCUGGAGAAGAUGGGGCUCUGUUACUGUGUCAACAAACCCAAAUGCAAGCCCUUAAAUGGGGCGGCCGCUUGGUACAAGUUUCCUUGCUACGUGAAAAACGAGGUGCCCCAUGCAGAGGCUUGGAUCAACGGCGCCAGUCUGAGUGGACAGUCCUUCGUGGUCGAGCAGCUGCAGAUAGAAUAUAGCUUUCCAUUCAUUUUCCCACCCGGCUUGUUUGCACGCUACAGUGUCCAGAUUAACAGCCACGUGGUUCAGCGGUCAGAUGGCAAAUACCAGAUCUAUGCCUACCGGGGAAAGGUGCCCGUGGUGGUGAGUUACCGGCCUGCCAGGGGAGCUCUGCAGCCAGAUACUCUAUCUAUUGCUAGUCAUGCAUCCCUACCAAAUAUCUGGACAGCCUGGCAAGCUAUUACCCCUUUAGUGGAAGAACUGAAUGUCCUGCUCCAGGAAUGGCCGGGCCUGUACUACACUGUGCACGUCCUCUGUUCAAAGUGCCUUAAAAGAGGGUCACCCAACCCACACACUUUUCCAGGAGAACUGCUGAGUCAGCCGAGACCAGAGGGACUGACGGAGAUCAUCUGUCCCAAGAACGGCAGCGAGCGAGUUAAUGUUGCCUUGGUUUACCCCCCCACUCCUACUGUGAUCAGCCCUUGUUCCAAAUAAAUCGUCAGUGCUGGUGCCAAAGGUUUUACACCGGGCAGAACAUGGCUGAUGCUCUGCAGUGCUCCCAUCUCUCCAGUUGUGGAGUUGCAUGCUGACGGGGAUCGAUGGGACUUUGGACUCUGAAAUGCUGUGGGGCAGGGGCAGCUCUCAGGUGGGGCCUCAUGGCUGGAGUGGACGCAGUCACCUGGAGGUUUGGGAUGACAACGAGGCAUGAAGCAAAAUGAUUGCUGCAGAUGACAGGGCCACUGGCCAGAUGGAAAGCACUGGGGAUAGGAUUCUGUGGACCCAUUGAUCACAUGUUGAAAACCCAUUUGGAUCUCAUGAUGAAUGUAAAAAUGUUCUUGGUACCAUUUAAUUCAGACCUACUUGCAGGAGAGUCUCUUGAAAUGAGCUGUAGCAGGAUUCCCUGGAUUUGUUCCUGGACAAGAAGAAACUAGCGAUCUGUUGCUGUGAUGUUGCGUGGAAGCCACGUUGUAAAGAAACCACAAACUGGAAUCCUUUUCCAGCCGGAGGCCUGUUUCCCAGUGCGCCCAUCUGGUCUGGGAUGCGUGAGCAUUGAAGGAGUGAGAGGACAGAGCAGAUGUCUUGCAGCCUGCUCCUUGGGACCACAGCCCUCCUGCCAGGGCAUGCCACAUCAUCAGGAGCAUGGCAGUACCUGGCCUGUGCAGGCACUAAGUUGGCACUGAAGCUGAAAUGCCGGGAGCAUGGCAAAUCAACCUAGCUGGGUCUAUCUAAUAUAAAAUGGUGAUCACUCAUCCACCCACUGUUUGGUAACUGGUGUAA